RNAcentral lists this ribosomal RNA (299 nucleotides) under Deltochilum mexicanum. Its description in RNAcentral is "partial 28S ribosomal RNA". It matches the Rfam family "Eukaryotic large subunit ribosomal RNA", at positions 697 to 964 of the family's 3401-position model. The record is from RNAcentral. Lineage: Eukaryota; Metazoa; Arthropoda; Insecta; Coleoptera; Scarabaeidae.
ACUUGUUAAACCUAAAGGCGCAAUGAAAGUAAAGGUCCGCCUCGGCGCGGACCGAGGGAAGAUGGGCCCGUCCUCGGGCGGGCCCCGCACUCCCGGGGCGUCUCGUCCUCAUCGCGAGGAGAGGCGCACCCAGAGCGUACACGCUGGGACCCGAAAGAUGGUGAACUAUGCCUGGUCAGGACGAAGUCAGGGGAAACCCUGAUGGAGGUCCGUAGCGAUUCUGACGUGCAAAUCGAUCGUCGGAACUGGGUAUAGGGGCGAAAGACUAAUCGAACCAUCUAGUAGCUGGUUCCUUCCGA